AUGCCCUUGUGAUUCAUGAGCUUGACGAUUAGGUUUUUGUAACAUCAUGUGAGAUGUUAUUCUUAGAACCUUAUUACAGCAUUGGCACAUUACCUAUCUGACG
Molecule: non-coding RNA, 103 nt
Organism: Fukomys damarensis (Damara mole-rat)
Lineage: Eukaryota; Metazoa; Chordata; Mammalia; Rodentia; Bathyergidae
Source: Rfam